This 69-nucleotide transfer RNA is filed under the name Dasypogon diadema. RNAcentral describes it as "tRNA-Gln". Lineage: Eukaryota; Metazoa; Arthropoda; Insecta; Diptera; Asilidae. The record is from RNAcentral.
UUAUAUCUGACAGAAUUAAACUGUCUCUAUAGACAUCAAAAAUCUAUGUGCAUCAUACACCAAAAUAUA